AGCGAACGCUGGCGGCAGGCUUAACACAUGCAAGUCGAACGGGCGUAGCAAUACGUCAGUGGCAGACGGGUGAGUAACGCGUGGGAACGUGCCUUUUGGUUCGGAACAACUGAGGGAAACUUCAGCUAAUACCGGAUAAGCCCUUACGGGGAAAGAUUAUCGCCAAAGAUCGGCCCGCGUCUGAUUAGCUAGUUGGUGAGGUAAUGGCUCACCAAGGCGACGAUCAGUAGCGGUCUGAGAGGAUGAUCAGCCACACUGGGACUGAGACACGGCCCAGACUCCUACGGGAGGCAGCAGUGGGGAAUAUUGGACAAUGGGCGCAAGCCUGAUCCAGCAAUGCCGCGUGGAUGAAGAAGGUUUUCGGAUUGUAAAGUCC
This 376-nucleotide ribosomal RNA is filed under the name uncultured bacterium. Its description in RNAcentral is "bacterial SSU rRNA". It matches the Rfam family "Bacterial small subunit ribosomal RNA", at positions 29 to 433 of the family's 1533-position model. The record is from RNAcentral.